This 309-nucleotide long non-coding RNA is filed under the name Pollicipes pollicipes. RNAcentral's name for it is "uncharacterized LOC119099794". Lineage: Eukaryota; Metazoa; Arthropoda; Thecostraca; Pollicipedomorpha; Pollicipedidae. The record is from RNAcentral.
CCGGCGACCAGCAGCAGCAGUACGACGUGCCGCAGAUAGAGUGUCCUCAGUCGGAUGACGGCAUGGAGCGGUUCGCCUGCCCGUCGCCCAACCGCUACGGCCGCUACUUCUGCAUAGACGACCACAUGCUCUGCGACGGCUUCAAGGCCUGUCCGGGCGGGGAAGACGAGGACCGACAGAACUGCAUGUUCUACAAGACGACCAAGACACAUCUGAACGUGUUGGCGGACGCGCUGCUUCGCUGGAUCCGAGGGCGCUAGAUGCCGGCGGAUCGGACGCCGCCGCUCGCAGCCGCUCGGCCAUCGGCAA